This 312-nucleotide long non-coding RNA is filed under the name Pan troglodytes (chimpanzee). RNAcentral describes it as "long non-coding RNA NONPTRT015206". The record is from RNAcentral. Lineage: Eukaryota; Metazoa; Chordata; Mammalia; Primates; Hominidae.
GGAAGAUCAAGGAGCUGGUGGGUUCAGUGUCUGACACCAGGUCUCACUGUGUUGCCCAGACUGGCAGGCUGGCACGAUCAUGGCUCACUGCGCACUGACGUCCUGGCCUCAUGGAAUCCUCUCACCUCAGCCUUGUGCUUUCCUUUAUAUGUAAGGAUGUCACCACACAGCAUGCUUAAUUAUCUACUUAUUGCUGUUGGCUUUUAUUUGGGGUUUAGGGAGUAGAUCAAUCAAUCACAUUCUGUAGAUUAAGUUUUGGUUUUCUGUUGUUGGAUAUUUGUUCUUUGGGGUCUUUGUAUUUGUUUAUUUCCA